UCGGACGUAGUGUAUGGAAUACAGCGGGGUCAUUUGUGAUGGCACGAUUUAACUUGUCACCCGCAGUCCGGGGUUCGACUCCCCGCGUCCGAC
Mycena epipterygia is the source of this 93-nucleotide non-coding RNA. Lineage: Eukaryota; Fungi; Basidiomycota; Agaricomycetes; Agaricales; Mycenaceae. The record is from the annotation of a GenBank genome assembly.